Non-coding RNA from Coturnix japonica (Japanese quail), 805 nucleotides. The record is from RefSeq and is a predicted model, not a curated record. Lineage: Eukaryota; Metazoa; Chordata; Aves; Galliformes; Phasianidae.
UUUUUUCUGGAGAUGGUUCCUCUGUGGUGGGGACUCAGCACUGUUGGCAAGGAAUGGUACAAUGAGGUGAACGUCAUGAAAGAAGGAAAGAGCCACGGAGAUGUGAUACUGAGAGACAAGAACCUGCUCUGCAUAAAACAGCCAGCACAUCGGAUUCAGUCUCUAAACAGAAAGGCCUUAAGCUGAUGAGAAGGUGUUUCGUGAAUACCCAAUUAACAUUUCAGUGACUGAAGUAAGGCUUGUAAUAAUCCAUCUCCUGGAGCUGCCUUAAUUGCUCAUAGAAAAAUACGUUUGUGCCAUAAAAAAUGUAUUUUGGGUCUGGAAGAAGAUGAGCUUGGCUGUUCAGAAUGCUGAACAGAUGGUGGUGUAGAGUCCUGGACUGCAAAUUCAGCUGUGCUUUCGGGUGCCUGCAAAUUAGGCCACCCCUUUGGAAUGCUGCAGAGCCAACGAGCAUCCAUCCAGGACCCUUUUAAUAAUAACUGGUGUUGUGUACUAUUUUGAACUGCAAAAACAGUUAUUUUCAUUUUAAUGUAAUAAUAGUGCUGCAGACUGCUGGAUGUACUUCCUAGCUGUGAAUAUAUGUAAUAAGAUGCUACCUUGCAGCUGUGCUUCUGUGUGAAGUUACUGUAAGUAUCUCAAAGUACUGUCAGUCCAUGGAAAAGUAGUGUUGAAUAAUGCUAAAACGUCUUAAUGCUCCAUGUAGCUAAACUGGAAACAGACUCCUGUAUUUCAAUAACUGUAUACAAAUGUAUUCUGCUUAUGUAUGGUUUAUACUAAAUAAAUGAGUUGCUUUUUGGACUUCCUA